UUUCCGUAGGUGAACCUGCGGAAGGAUCAUUAUUGGAUUUUGAAGCUUCAGGCUGCUGCCGGCUCUCCUCGGAGGGCAUGUGCACGCUUGUUGUCCAUUAUUUCUCCCACUGUGCACAAAUUGUCGACCUUUCAGUAGGCCUAUGUUGUUUUUCACAAUCUCUGAAUGUAAUAGAAUGGUUUUGAAUCUUGGGAAAUACAAUACAACUUUCAGCAACGGAUCUCUUGGCUCUC
This 233-nucleotide unclassified non-coding RNA is filed under the name plant metagenome. RNAcentral's name for it is "partial contains small subunit ribosomal RNA, internal transcribed spacer 1, and 5.8S ribosomal RNA". The record is from RNAcentral.